AUUGCCUACGGGGGGCAGCAGUGGGGAAUUUUGGACAAUGGGCGCAAGCCUGCUCCAGCUCUUCCGCGUGUGGGAAGACGGCCUUCGGGUUGUAAACCACUUUUGUAGAGAACGAAAAGUCUGUUGAUAAUACCGAUAGAUGAUGACGGUACUCUAAGAAUAAGCACCGGCUAACUACGUGCCAGCAGCCGCGGUAAUACGUAGGGUGCGAGCGUUAAUCGGAAUUACUGGGCGUAACGGGUGUGCAGGCGGUUUUGCAAGAUGGU
This 266-nucleotide ribosomal RNA is filed under the name uncultured bacterium. RNAcentral describes it as "partial 16S ribosomal RNA". It matches the Rfam family "Bacterial small subunit ribosomal RNA", at positions 334 to 592 of the family's 1533-position model. The record is from RNAcentral.